CGGCCUUUGGUCGUCCGAGUUGUAGUCUGGAGAAGCGUUUUCUGCGUCGGACCGUGUACAAGUCCCUUGGAACAGGGCGUCACAGAGGGUGAGAAUCCCGUCUUUGACACGGACUGCCGGUGCUUUGUGAUGCGCUCUCGAAGAGUCGAGUUGUUUGGGAAUGCAGCUCANAACGGGUGGUAAAUUCCAUCUAAAGCUAAAUAUUGGCGAAAGACCGAUAGCGAACAAGUACCGUGAGGGAAAGAUGAAAAGCACUUUGGAAAGAGAGUUAAACAGUACGUGAAAUUGUUGAAAGGGAAACGUUUGAAGUCAGUCGCGUCUCUCGGGACUCAGCCUCGCCUCCUCCGGCUUGGUGUACUUCCCGAGAUGACGGGCCAGCAUCGAUUUCGACCGYCGGAGAAGGGCCUUGGGAAUGCGGCACCUUCG
This 426-nucleotide ribosomal RNA is filed under the name Ramaria pseudoflava. RNAcentral describes it as "partial large subunit ribosomal RNA". It matches the Rfam family "Eukaryotic large subunit ribosomal RNA", at positions 125 to 547 of the family's 3401-position model. The record is from RNAcentral. Lineage: Eukaryota; Fungi; Basidiomycota; Agaricomycetes; Gomphales; Gomphaceae.